UUAAAUUGAAGAGUUUGAUCAUGGCUCAGAUUGAACGCUGGCGGCAGGCCUAACACAUGCAAGUCGAACGGUAACAGGAAGCAGCUUGCUGCUUCGCUGACGAGUGGCGGACGGGUGAGUAAUGUCUGGGAAACUGCCUGAUGGAGGGGGAUAACUACUGGAAACGGUAGCUAAUACCGCAUAAUGUCGCAAGACCAAAGAGGGGGACCUUCGGGCCUCUUGCCAUCGGAUGUGCCCAGAUGGGAUUAGCUUGUUGGUGGGGUAACGGCUCACCAAGGCGACGAUCCCUAGCUGGUCUGAGAGGAUGACCAGCCACACUGGAACUGAGACACGGUCCAGACUCCUACGGGAGGCAGCAGUGGGGAAUAUUGCACAAUGGGCGCAAGCCUGAUGCAGCCAUGCCGCGUGUAUGAAGAAGGCCUUCGGGUUGUAAAGUACUUUCAGCGGGGAGGAAGGGAGUAAAGUUAAUACCUUUGCUCAUUGACGUUACCCGCAGAAGAAGCACCGGCUAACUCCGUGCCAGCAGCCGCGGUAAUACGGAGGGUGCAAGCGUUAAUCGGAAUUACUGGGCGUAAAGCGCACGCAGGCGGUUUGUUAAGUCAGAUGUGAAAUCCCCGGGCUCAACCUGGGAACUGCAUCUGAUACUGGCAAGCUUGAGUCUCGUAGAGGGGGGUAGAAUUCCAGGUGUAGCGGUGAAAUGCGUAGAGAUCUGGAGGAAUACCGGUGGCGAAGGCGGCCCCCUGGACGAAGACUGACGCUCAGGUGCGAAAGCGUGGGGAGCAAACAGGAUUAGAUACCCUGGUAGUCCACGCCGUAAACGAUGUCGACUUGGAGGUUGUGCCCUUGAGGCGUGGCUUCCGGAGCUAACGCGUUAAGUCGACCGCCUGGGGAGUACGGCCGCAAGGUUAAAACUCAAAUGAAUUGACGGGGGCCCGCACAAGCGGUGGAGCAUGUGGUUUAAUUCGAUGCAACGCGAAGAACCUUACCUGGUCUUGACAUCCACGGAAGUUUUCAGAGAUGAGAAUGUGCCUUCGGGAACCGUGAGACAGGUGCUGCAUGGCUGUCGUCAGCUCGUGUUGUGAAAUGUUGGGUUAAGUCCCGCAACGAGCGCAACCCUUAUCCUUUGUUGCCAGCGGUCCGGCCGGGAACUCAAAGGAGACUGCCAGUGAUAAACUGGAGGAAGGUGGGGACGACGUCAAGUCAUCAUGGCCCUUACGACCAGGGCUACACACGUGCUACAAUGGCGCAUACAAAGAGAAGCGACCUCGCGAGAGCAAGCGGACCUCAUAAAGUGCGUCGUAGUCCGGAUUGGAGUCUGCAACUCGACUCCAUGAAGUCGGAAUCGCUAGUAAUCGUGGAUCAGAAUGCCACGGUGAAUACGUUCCCGGGCCUUGUACACACCGCCCGUCACACCAUGGGAGUGGGUUGCAAAAGAAGUAGGUAGCUUAACCUUCGGGAGGGCGCUUACCACUUUGUGAUUCAUGACUGGGGUGAAGUCGUAACAAGGUAACCGUAGGGGAACCUGCGGUUGGAUCACCUCCUUACCUUAAAGAAGC
RNAcentral lists this ribosomal RNA (1556 nucleotides) under Shigella boydii. Its description in RNAcentral is "bacterial SSU rRNA". It matches the Rfam family "Bacterial small subunit ribosomal RNA". The record is from RNAcentral. Lineage: Bacteria; Pseudomonadati; Pseudomonadota; Gammaproteobacteria; Enterobacterales; Enterobacteriaceae.